GCCAAACGGCAGAUGAUCGCCCUAUACCCUUCUCGUUCUUGCGAGUCGGGCCGGGAGGAAAGUCCGAGCUCCCCCCGAUGUCCUCGGGGCAAAUGAUAGUGGGUAACGCCCACCGAUGUGCUGGUGACAGUACGUUAGGGACAGUGCCACAGAGACAAUACUACCCCGACGCAAUGUCGGGGGAAAGGUGAAAAGUGUUUGAAUGUUUUUGUUCUAUAGACAAAAGCUACCAAACUUCCCGAUUUUAUCGGGAUGGUAAACCCUAUCAGGAGAAAGAGCAGCCCUUCGACUCGCUUCGCUCGCUCAGGGCAAGCGUCUUGAUUGGAAAAGUUAGCUCGUUUGAUCCCGACAGCAAUGUCUGGACAAGAGAAAUGAUCAUCGGACCACGAAUUUGGACCACGAAUAACCUUCAAAUAAUUCAUGUUCAAUUCGUGUCAAGAUUCGUGUCUCAAAUUCGUGGUCCACAGAACUCGGCUUAUCGCCGUUUGGUAUAA
RNAcentral lists this RNase P RNA (494 nucleotides) under Candidatus Magasanikbacteria bacterium RIFCSPHIGHO2_02_FULL_48_18. RNAcentral's name for it is "RNase P RNA component class A". It matches the Rfam family "Bacterial RNase P class A". From Rfam's summary of the family: Ribonuclease P (RNase P) is a ubiquitous endoribonuclease, found in archaea, bacteria and eukarya as well as chloroplasts and mitochondria. The record is from RNAcentral. RNAcentral also lists the same sequence under 3 other names. Lineage: Bacteria; Candidatus Magasanikiibacteriota.